RNAcentral lists this transfer RNA (57 nucleotides) under Placida sp. 1 NY-2013. RNAcentral's name for it is "tRNA-Ser". Lineage: Eukaryota; Metazoa; Mollusca; Gastropoda; Limapontiidae. The record is from RNAcentral.
AUUUCACCAGGUGGUCUAGUCUAGACCUAGAAAGGUUUUCAAAACCCUUAUGUACAA